Molecule: ribosomal RNA, 411 nt
Filed under: Verrucomicrobiota bacterium
Lineage: Bacteria; Pseudomonadati; Verrucomicrobiota
Description: Verrucomicrobia bacterium partial 16S ribosomal RNA
Rfam family: Bacterial small subunit ribosomal RNA
Source: RNAcentral
UGGGGAAUCUUGCGCAAUGGGGGAAACCCUGACGCAGCGACGCCGCGUGCGGGAUGAAGGCCUUCGGGUUGUAAACCGCUUUCAGCAGGGACGAGGCCUUAUGGUGACGGUGCGUGCACAAGAAGCUCCUGCGAAAUACGUGCCGGCAGCCGCGGUAAGACGCAUGGAGCAAGCGUUAUCCGGGUUCAUUGGGCGUAAAGCGCUCGUAGGCGGUCUGUUAGGUCGGCAAGUUAAAUCCGGGGGCUCAACCCCCGUCCGCUCCCGAUACCGGCAGACUAGAGUUUGGUAGGGGGGGGUGGAAUUCCUGGUGUAGCGGUGAAAUGCGCAGAUAUCAGGAAGAACACCGGUGGCGAAGGCGGCCUUCUGGGCGAUAACUGACGCUGAGGAGCGAAAGAUAGGGGAGCGAACAGG